RNAcentral lists this long non-coding RNA (1067 nucleotides) under Coturnix japonica (Japanese quail). RNAcentral describes it as "lncRNA (ENSCJPG00005002849.1)". The record is from RNAcentral. Lineage: Eukaryota; Metazoa; Chordata; Aves; Galliformes; Phasianidae.
GACCCUAUGGCCACUAUAGGGACGCCAUAGGGACACCAUAGGGACCCUAUGGCCACUAUAGGGACACCAUAGGGACACCAUAGGGACCCUAUGGCCACUAUAGGGACACCAUAGGGACGCCAAAGGGUCCCCAAUGCCACUAAAUGGGACCCCAAUGGGGACAGGACCACCUUGAGGACCCCCUGUGCCACCAAUGAAACCCCCCAGGGCCACUAAUGGGAUGGGACCACCUAUGGGACCCCCAGAGCCACUAAAUGGGGACCCCCAGGACAACCAAUAGGAUCCCCAUGGCCACCUUGGGAAUGGGACCACCAAUGGGACCCCCAUAGUCACCAAUGGGACCCCCAUGGCCACCAAUGGGGACAGGACCACCAAUGGGACCCCCAUAGUCACCAAUGGGACCCCCAUGGCCACCUUGGGGACCCCCAGGGCCACCAAUAGGACCCCCAGGACCACCAAUGGGACCCCCAUCUCCACCAAUGGGACCAUCAUAGUCAUUAAUGGGACCCCCAUGGCCACCAAUGGGACCCCCAUGGCCACCAAUGGGACCCCCAUAGACACCAAUGGGGACAGGACCACCAAUGGGACCCCCAUAGUCACCAAUGGGACCCCCAUGGCCACCUUGGGGACCCCCAUAGCCACCAAUGGGACCCCCAGGACCCCCAGGACCACCAAUGGGGACAGGACCACCAAUGGGACAGGACCACCAAUGGGACCCCCAAUGGGACCCCCAUAGUCACCAAUGGGACCCCCAUGGCCACCAAUGGGACUCCCAUAGACACCAAUGGGACCCCCAUAGUCACCAAUGGGACCCCCAGGACCCCCAUAGUCACCAAUGGGACCCCCAUAGCCAUUAAUGGGACCCCCAGGACCCCCAGUGGGACCCCCAUAGUCACCAAUGGGGACAGUACCACCAAUGGGACCCCCAAUGGGACCCCCAUAGUCACCAAUGGGACCCCCAUGUCCACCUUGGGGACCCCCAGGGCCACCAUGGGGGGGUGGGGGGGGUCAGGGCAGGAGCAGAUGGAACCAAUAAAGGUGCCACCAGAACUUGAUAACGUCCCCUG